UGGGGUAUAGUUCAGUGGUAGAGAGUGUGCUUAACACAUACGAGAUCCUGGGUUCAACCCCCAGUACCUCCA
This 72-nucleotide transfer RNA is filed under the name Camelus bactrianus (Bactrian camel). It matches the Rfam family "tRNA". Rfam says of the family: Transfer RNA (tRNA) molecules are approximately 80 nucleotides in length. Their secondary structure includes four short double-helical elements and three loops (D, anti-codon, and T loops). RNAcentral also lists the same sequence under 2 other names. The record is from Rfam by way of RNAcentral. Lineage: Eukaryota; Metazoa; Chordata; Mammalia; Artiodactyla; Camelidae.